AGCUAUCACACAUAUAACUGCUUCAGCAGCACGUAUCUGUUUCAGACAAAGGAGAAAAGAUAUGGUUAGAACCUCUAAGACUUACAGGCAUCAAGGCAUGGGACUGAAUAAGAGUAUGACACUCGCCAACAAGUAAUCUGAAGAAAAAUAUAAUUAAAAUACUGUCAGAAUGGCUGCCGUCUAGCUUUACUAAGGGCCUUUGAAUCCUAUUCACAUUAAAGAUUGAAAAUUUAAGAGGUCAUGCCCUUGGACCAAAGUAAACUUGUAUACAUAAUUUGACGAAUAAGAUGGACCAAAAUCAAAUGACAACUUAAUUUAUGUUGAAUGACUAAGAACAAGAGAUAGUUUUAUUUAUAUAUAGUUUUAAUAUAUAUGAAAAGCAUGAAGCAACAAUAUUCCUUGGGGAAUUACUAUAGACAUCCAGCUCAGUAAGUUAUAUACAAGUCAAUGUUAAAUGCACUAGAAAUAUACUUAUUUCUAUUUUCCCUUCAACGAAUAAUUUACUUGUUUGAGACAAAUAUGCAAAGGGAGAAUUAUUCUGAAAUGGGUGGACCAUAAGCAUCAUAACAACCCAUGGAAAACUAAUAAAUGUGGGGAAAAUGAUUAUCCUACACAUUCCAUGGAAGAAAUCAUAUCUUAAAAUAUCACAAGAAUUGCGAAGUAUCAUAUGUUAGCAACAAUAUAAUUGGUUCCACAUGAAUCUAGGAUUCAUUCAUUUUCAAGUGCAUUGCCCUUCCCCUGAGUUUGUUGAUAACAGGCAUCAGUUUUUCCUUUUGCAAUUUGAAACCAAGUGGAACAUAAAUAGGUCAAACAAUCAACAGAAAACCUGAUUCUAUACCCGAAACUCCUUUGUGUUCCCAAUCCCACCUAAAUAUACCUGCAUCAAACCCUAAUCUUGUGUCCACAACAUAAUGCUGCUGAAUAACAAAAGACCCUGCAUACAAAGAUCUUGGUUUGCGCCAAUCCAAGUCAUCUUUUAGUAAACUUGUCACAUAUUAACCACGAGUUUAUACAGCACUAAAUUUCAAAUAUGAUUGUAAUAAAUAUUAUAGUUACACAAGAAAAUUAACAAAUAUUUAGGUUAAAAAGAUCAAGAACUUUACAAGGGAACAUGGAGAAAUAAAAAGGAAAGGUGAAUUACAAAAUCUUAAGAGAAUCAAGUUAUAAGUUAUGCUUACAUAGAAUAUAGUUUGCAUUUGACAAGCAUUAGCAUUAACCUUGUUAUAAUGCUGAAAAAACAAAAAAACUCUGUACAUAGGAAAAUGCCUAAAUAAGGAAAGGUAGUGUUGACAAUCACUAGCAAUUUUGACGGAAACAGAAAAGACGCACAUGCACCACAAAAAUAAAAUGUCAUGUAGGACAGCAAUUUAGUUAUGAUUUCUUUUUUUUU
This 1390-nucleotide unclassified non-coding RNA is filed under the name Hevea brasiliensis (rubber tree). Lineage: Eukaryota; Viridiplantae; Streptophyta; Magnoliopsida; Malpighiales; Euphorbiaceae. The record is from RNAcentral.